GACGAACGCUGGCGGCGUGCUUAACACAUGCAAGUCGAGCGGUAAGGCCCUUUCGGGGUACGACGAGCGGCGAACGGGUGAGUAACACGUGGGUGACCUGCCCUCAGCUCUGGGAUAAGCCUGGGAAACGUAGGGUCUAAUACUGGAUAUGACUCCACGGUGCAUGUCGUGGGGUGGAAAGCCUUGUGCGGCUGAGGAUGGGCCCGCGGCCUAUCAGCUUGUUGGUGGGGUGGAUGGCCUACCAAGGCGACGACGGGUAGCCGG
This 264-nucleotide ribosomal RNA is filed under the name uncultured bacterium. Its description in RNAcentral is "partial 16S ribosomal RNA". It matches the Rfam family "Bacterial small subunit ribosomal RNA", at positions 28 to 290 of the family's 1533-position model. The record is from RNAcentral.